RNAcentral lists this ribosomal RNA (424 nucleotides) under uncultured Nitrosospira sp. RNAcentral's name for it is "bacterial SSU rRNA". It matches the Rfam family "Bacterial small subunit ribosomal RNA", at positions 202 to 622 of the family's 1533-position model. Lineage: Bacteria; Pseudomonadati; Pseudomonadota; Betaproteobacteria; Nitrosomonadales; Nitrosomonadaceae. The record is from RNAcentral.
CAAGACCUCGCGCUAUUAGAGCGGCCGAUGCCCGAUUAGCUAGUUGGUGAGGUAAUGGCCCACCAAGGCAACGAUCGGUAGCUGGUCUGAGAGGAUGAUCAGCCACACUGGGACUGAGACACGGCCCAGACUCCUACGGGAGGCAGCAGUGGGGAAUUUUGGACAAUGGGCGAAAGCCUGAUCCAGCCAUGCCGCGUGAGUGAAGAAGGCCUUCGGGUUGUAAAGCUCUUUCAGCCGGAACGAAAUCGUCCGGGCUAAUACUUCGGAUGGAUGACGGUACUGGAAGAAGAAGCACCGGCUAACUACGUGCCAGCAGCCGCGGUAAUACGUAGGGUGCAGGCGUUAAUCGGAAUUACUGGGCGUAAAGCGUGCGCAGGCGGCUUUCCAAGUCAGAUGUGAAAUCCCCGGGCUUAACCUGGGAACU